This 345-nucleotide unclassified non-coding RNA is filed under the name soil metagenome. RNAcentral describes it as "partial contains 5.8S ribosomal RNA, internal transcribed spacer 2, and large subunit ribosomal RNA". The stretch from base 1 to 120 matches the Rfam family "5.8S ribosomal RNA", at positions 35 to 154 of the family's 154-position model. The record is from RNAcentral.
GAUGAAGAACGUAGUGAAAUGCGAUAAGUAAUGUGAAUUGCAGAAUUCCGUGAAUCAUCGAGUCUUUGAACGCACAUUGCGCCCCCUGGUAUUCCGGGGGGCAUGCCUGUCCGAGCGUCAUUGCUGCCCUCAAGCACGGCUUGUGUGUUGGGCCUCCGUCCUCCUCCCGGGGGACGGGCCCGAAAGGCAGCGGCGGCACCGCGUCCGGUCCUCGAGCGUAUGGGGCUUCGUCACCCGCUCUUGUAGGCCCGGCCGGCGCUUGCCGACACAUCAAUCUUUUUUCCAGGUUGACCUCGGAUCAGGUAGGGAUACCCGCUGAACUUAAGCAUAUCAAUAAGCGGAGGA